ACAAGAGUAUCCCUCAAAUAAGCUAAUUUGAAGGAUCCUUCAAUGGAGGCUUUUUGUAUGUAUAUAUACACAUAUAUACAUAUGCAUCAGAAUGCGCGGCUACCAAGCUGUGAAUUUGGAUGAAUAGGUGUGUGAGAAGUGUACAGGCAGUGGGGUUAGGAGCAAGCGUUGGCGCUUAGAAUUUUUUUUUUUUUUUUUUAAUUGGAUGAAAGGCUGCUUGAAGUUAAGUUCAAGCAGAUUUUUAAUUACACUUUUUUUCCCAAAUAAAAAAAUAUAAUACUUUAUUAAUAUUUUAAUUUAUAUGGGCGGUUUUACCCCUCAAUUUAACAACAAAAU
RNAcentral lists this long non-coding RNA (336 nucleotides) under Prunus persica (peach). RNAcentral's name for it is "long non-coding RNA (PPER_LNC000921)". The record is from RNAcentral. Lineage: Eukaryota; Viridiplantae; Streptophyta; Magnoliopsida; Rosales; Rosaceae.